CCUACGGGUGGCAGCAGUGAGGAAUAUUGGUCAAUGGACGAGAGUCUGAACCAGCCAAGUAGCGUGAAGGAUGACUGCCCUACGGGUUGUAAACUUCUUUUAUAUGGGAAUAAAACGUUCCACGUGUGUGAUUUUGUAUGUACCAUAUGAAUAAGGAUCGGCUAACUCCGUGCCAGCAGCCGCGGUAAUACGGAGGAUCCGAGCGUUAUCCGGAUUUAUUGGGUGUAAAGGGAGCGUAGGUGGAUUGUUAAGUCAGUUGUGAAAGUUUGCGGCUCAACCGUAAAAUUGCAGUUGAAACUGGCAGUCUUGAGUACAGUAGAGGUGGGCGGAAUUCGUGGUGUAGCGGUGAAAUGCUUAGAUAUCACGAAGAACUCCGAUUGCGAAGGCAGUUCACUGGACUGCAACUGACACUGAGGCUCGAAAGUGUGGGUAUCAAACAGGAUUAGAUACCCGUGUAGUC
Molecule: ribosomal RNA, 460 nt
Filed under: uncultured bacterium
Lineage: Bacteria
Description: partial 16S ribosomal RNA
Rfam family: Bacterial small subunit ribosomal RNA
Source: RNAcentral